CUGAGGGGUACUGCGGAGGAUCAUUAUCGAGUUUUGAACGGGUUGUAGCUGGCCUUUCACGAGGCAUGUGCACGCCUGGCUCAUCCACUCUUAACCUCUGUGCACUUUAUGUAAGAGAAAAAAAUGGUGGAAGCUUCCAGGAUCUCGCGAGAGGUCUUCGGUUGAACAAGCCGUUUUUCUUUCUUAUGUUUUACUACAAACGCUUCAGUUAUAGAAUGUCAACUGUGUAUAACACAUUUAUAUACAACUUUCAGCAACGGAUCUCUUGGCUCUCGCAUCGAUGAAGAACGCAGCGAAAUGCGAUAAGUAAUGUGAAUUGCAGAAUUCAGUGAAUCAUCGAAUCUUUGAACGCACCUUGCACUCCUUGGUAUUCCGAGGAGUAUGCCUGUUUGAGUCUCAUGGUAUUCUCAACCCCUAAAUUUUUGUAAUGAAGGUUUAGCGGGCUUGGACUUGGAGGUUGUGUCGGCCCUUGUCGGUCGACUCCUCUGAAAUGCAUUAGCGUGAAUCUUACGGAUCGCCUUCAGUGUGAUAAUUAUCUGCGCUGUGGUGUUGAAGUAUUUAUGGUGUUCAUGCUUCGAACCGUCUCCUUGCCGAGACAAUCAUUUGACAAUCUGAGCUCAAAUCAGGUAGGACUACCCGCUGAACUUAAGCAUAUCUAAAGGCGGAAGGACCAGCGGCAGGACCUU
This 686-nucleotide ribosomal RNA is filed under the name Irpex lacteus. Its description in RNAcentral is "eukaryotic LSU rRNA". The stretch from base 246 to 399 matches the Rfam family "5.8S ribosomal RNA". Lineage: Eukaryota; Fungi; Basidiomycota; Agaricomycetes; Polyporales; Irpicaceae. The record is from RNAcentral.